CCAAUCGGCGCUGAUGUCAGAUUUUUAUCCAGUUUGACCUCGGAUCA
This 47-nucleotide ribosomal RNA is filed under the name Chrysosporium sp. MH687. RNAcentral describes it as "partial 28S ribosomal RNA". The record is from RNAcentral. Lineage: Eukaryota; Fungi; Ascomycota; Eurotiomycetes; Onygenales; Onygenaceae.